GGAGUUCCCAGGGCGCACGUAUGUGCCCUAGAAGUUGUCGGCGAAAGCUUUGACCAGGUCAUCCUAGUUGGAGAUCUACGCAGGAGGCAGAUGCUCCAGCCAGGCUCGGGCGGCGUCGGAGAGGAACAAAGGAAGGUUGCGGAUGAUGAGGUUGUCAUCGUCCGUCCCACCUAGCUGGCAGGCUAGCCGGUAGUCCGCGAGCCACAGUUCCGGCUUCGACUCCCCCGAGUACUUGGUGAUAGUAGUCGAGGUUCGGAACCGGGUCGGGAACGGCGCCCGUCGUAUGGCCCGGCUGAAAGCUUGCGGACCGGGUGGUUCGGGCGAGGGGCUCCGAUCCUCCCCGCUGUCGUAGCGUCCCCCACGCCUGGGGUGGUAGCCUCGGCGCACCUUCUCGUCGAGGUGGGCUCGACGGUCGCGGCGGUGGUGCUCGUUGCCGAGGCGACCCGGGGGCGCAGGCGCUGUGUUCCACGUUCGCCCGGUGUGGACCGAGGCUUCCCGCAUGAAUCGGGAAGUCGCGGCGCGAUGCUCCAGAGGGUACCCCUGCCUUCGGGAGGCAGAGCUCUUGGCCCGUCGGACCGCGGCAUCCUCCAGGAGAUUCUUGAGCUCUCCCUGGAUUCGCCGCCCCUCGGUGGUGGAUGGUUCCGGCAUCGCUCGAAGUAGUAUCGCUGCUGCAGCCAGGUUCUGGCCGACCCCACUGGAAGCUGGGGGCAGCCUUGCCCUGGCAUCGUCGGCAAUGCGGUGCUGGACGUCCUAGGCCAGAUGACGCGCUUCUCCGGCCGGUGCUCGGCCUGCCCACUCCUGCCCGAUGUUUUGCCGAAGCUGCACAAGUUGUCCUGCUUCCUCGUCGAGCCUGGCCUGCAUCUCGCGGAUUUGCUCGAGCUGUGCGUCCUGACCCCCCGCAGGGACUGGGACCACAGCUAGCUCCCGAAGGAUGUCAACGCGAGGCGUAGGCCUAGGGGGAUCACCGUCCUCCGGCAUACCAAGAUGGUUGCCUUCGUCGAGACCCCCUAGAUCGACGUGGAAGCAUUCGUGACUUGGGCCACAGCUCUCGUCGCCGAGGCUGUGGCUACUAUCGGGGCAAUCGGAGAGGCAGUAGUCACAUGCGGUCAUGAAGUCCCGCAUGGCACUGGGGUUAUCGAGCCCGGAGAAAUUCCAACCAGAGUCGGGCUCGUCAUCUUCCUCGGAACCCAGGGGCCCGUAGGUCGAGACGGCCGUCGGUUUGUCCCAGGUUGACCGCAUAUGAUACCCCGGAGGGUUUGGAUGUGCCUUUUGAAAGCGUCCACUGAAGCGUGAACGCUUGGUGGGUUGCAGCUGAAUCUAAAAGGCAUGGAAUGGGAAACGAACCGUACCUCUUGAUCGACGGGUGGUGACGAAGUCGCGUCAGGGACGGACUGCACCGUUGUCUGAGGUACGAUGCUAACGCCCAGCAAGUCCUUCGCGAGCAUGCUGGCAUCGUCCGUCAGCUUGGGGUUGGCGUGUUGCGGGGAGACGACGCUCGUCUUCGUCUCAGACGCGAGGUCAACACCCGACGUGUCCCCCGCUGGGGCACCGGCGCCGUCGACUCGCUCGACAGCCGACGAGGUGCCGCCUUCUGCUUGGCCAUGCCUGCCCCGCCUCCUCCUCUGUCGGCGGGGAAGGUGACGGGACAGACCCGGAUGUUGCUCUUCCGCCACGUGGGGAAGACAUCGUCGAUUCCGCUACCGGCGGGCGGGCUGACGGCCGCCAUUGUCGUUGUCGCGCAGCGGAGGAAGGAGUGUCAUGUCGUAGCUGUCGUCGAGGGACAUGAACUCAAGACUCCCGAAACAGAGCACCGUCUCGGGCUGGAGUGGUUGCUGGAGACUACCCAUCUGGAGCUUGACGGGAAGCUGUUCGUCAACACGCAGCAGGCCCCUACCUGGCGCGCCAACUGUCGGCAUUUCGACCCCGGGGGGGUCCCUGGACCGACGAGUAAAUUGUCGCUGCGUGUCCCAGCCCAGAUGGGUCGCGCGAGACGGAGCACAAAGGGGGGAAAGACAGUAAGGGGAAACCGCGGCCUUCGUGUUGUCCUACGCCCAGGGCGGAUGCGCUUGCAGUAGGGGGUUACAAGCGUUUGCGUGGGAGAGAGAGAGAGCCUUGUGCGUCGGCCCGUUCUCCCGCGCGGCCAACCUUUUCGUAUGAGAGCCCUGGACCUUCCUUUUAUAGACGUAAGGAGAGGGCCCAGGUGUACAAUGGGGGGUGUAGCAGUGUGCUAACGUGUCUAGCAGAGAGGAGCCAGAGCCCUAAGUACAUGUCGUCGUGGCUGUCGGAGAGGUUUUGGCACCCUAUUUAUGUGAUGUCGUGGCCGUCGGAGGAGUGCUUGAGCCCUGUGGAAGUACAGCUGUCAGAGCUGUCGGAUCCUUGCUGACGUCUCCUUGCUUCCGUAAGGGGCUGAGAGCCGCCGUCGUCAUGGAGCACGCGGGGUGCCAUCAUUACUUGUUUACCGGGGCGAGCCAGAUGGGACGCCAGUCUUGUUCCCCGUAGCCUGAGCUAGCUGGGAGUAGGGUAAUGAUGGCUCCCCCUGCGACGUGGUCGGUCCGUGCCCGAGGUCGGGCGAGGCGGAGGCUCCUCCGAGGUCGAGGUUGAGCCCGAGCCCUGGGGUCGGGCGAGGCGGAGACCGUCGUCCGAGGUCGAGGUAGAGUCCGAGCCCUAGGGUCGGGCGAGGCGGAGACCGUCGUCCGAGGUAGAGUCCGAGCCCUGGGGUCGGGCGAGGCGGAGACCGUCGUCCGAGGUCGAGGUAGAGUCCGAGCCCUGGGGUCGGGCGAGGUGGAGACCGUCGUCCGAGCUCGAGGUUGAGUCCGAGCCCAAGGGUCGGGCGAGGCGGAGCUUCCGAUGGCGCCUGAGGCCGGUCUUGGCCGCUGUCAGCCUCACCCUGACGGGUGGCACAACAGUCGGAGCAGCACAGGCGGCGCUGUUUUCCUAUCAGGUCGGUCAGUGGAGCGGCGAAGUGACUGCGGUCACUUCGGCUCUGUCGACUGAAGAGCGCGCGUCAGGAUAAGGUGUCAGGCGAUCCUUGCAUUAAAUGCUCCUGCGAUACGGUCGGUUGGCGUGGCGAUCUGGCCAAGGUUGCUUCUCCAUGAAGCCUGGGCCUCGGGGACCAUAAUUAGGGGACCCUCGGGCGAGACGUGAAUCCUCCUGGGUCGGCUGUCUUUGCCCGAGGCUAGGCUCGGGCGAGGUGAGAUUGUGUCCCUUGAGCGGACGGAGCCUUGACCUGAAUCGCGCCCAUCAGGCCUUUGCAGCUUUGUGCUGAUGGGGGUUACCAGCUGAGAUUAGGAGCCUUGGGGGUACCCCUAAUUAUGGUCCCCAACAAUUUGCUGCGCGUAGGUGGUGGAACUGAGGUCACAAAUAGUGAUGGCGACAUCCGUCUUCCUGACGAGGUAUGCUUACCUUAUAGUGAGAGUGACAAUGAUCUUGACAAUCUAAUAGACUUCGUUUUCCCAAAUCUCAACGAAAAAAUGUCAGAUUCCACCUACAUUACUUCAAGGGCGAUACUGUCAACGCGGAAUGACUGGGUGGAUAUGAUAAAUGCUAAGAUGAUCAAUCGUUUUCAAGGGGAGCAUAUGGUGUACCAUAGUUUCGAUAGUGCCAUGGAUGAUCCCCAUAACUACUACCCACCUGAGUUCCUAAACACACUGACGCCUAAUGGGCUGCCCCCACAUGUUUUGAAGCUCAAGAUUGGAUGCCCUGUUAUAUUGCUUCGAAAUAUAGACCCUGCGAAUGGACUUUGCAAUGGCACCAGGCUGGUGGUUCGUGGUUUCCAAAGAAAUAGCAUUGACGUAGAAAUUGUACUAGGUCAGUAUGCUGGAAAACGGAUUUUCCUGCCCCGUAUACCUCUGUGUCCCUCCGAUGACGAGAUGUUCCCUUUCCAGUUCAAAAGAAAGCAGUUUCCUAUACGGCUUAGUUUUGCAAUGACGGUUAACAAAGCACAGGGUCAGACUAUUCCCAAUGUUGGCGUGUACUUGCCCGAACCAGUGUUCUCUCAUGGCCAACUAUAUGUUGCUCUAUCUAGAGCGACAGCCCGAUCGAACAUAAAGAUUCUUGCCAUCCCAGCCGUCGAUGGGAAGAAGAGGUCGAGGAAGGGUGUAAGAAAGAACCCCACAGUAGAUUGUGGGACAUAUACCAAGAACAUCGUCUACAAGGAGGUUCUAACAAACUAGACCCACGGUAAGUCUGUCAAAACUGAAUUGUUUGUUAACCACAUAGAAUCUCAUGGAGUAAAUUUCUGUAAGCAUGAUCGUUCAUUGUUUAGUAUUUAUUAACAACUAUAUUCUAUGCUUUAUAUUCUUACAACAGAAGAUUAUCUGUGUUCAGCCAAAUGGACAUAAUUAGUGUUGUUUUGCAAAAGCAUUUUGGAUUUUCCAGUCUCAAAGCAUUCCAAAAGGAAGUCUUGGAUGCUUGGUUUGCUCACGGGGAUUGUGUUCUCCUAGCAGCCAUAGGAUCAGGAGGUACCAAAGGAAAUGAGCAAAACAUAGCAUACAGUCUCAGAUGCUGCAGGAUCACAUGAAAAUUAUUGAAGACGACGGUCCAGGUGCAGCCUUCUAUGCCAGUGCUAAGGCCAUGACUAAUGGAAAUCACACUUUCUAUGUGAGCUGUUGGGGACCUUCGGCUU
Molecule: RNA transcript, 4624 nt
Organism: Zea mays
Lineage: Eukaryota; Viridiplantae; Streptophyta; Magnoliopsida; Poales; Poaceae
Gene name: ATP-dependent DNA helicase PIF1
Exons: 3
Source: RefSeq, a predicted model, not a curated record